GACGAACGCUGGCGGCGUGCUUAACACAUGCAAGUCGAAUGAUGAACCCGGAGCUUGCUCCGGCGGAUUAGUGGCGAACGGGUGAGUAACACGUGAGUAACCUGCCCUUGACUCUGGGAUAACUGCUAGAAAUGGUAGCUAAUACCGGAUACGACCCUCGGCGGCAUCGCCAGGGGGUGGAAAGAAUUUCGGUCAAGGAUGGACUCGCGGCCUAUCAGCUAGUUGGUGAGGUAACGGCUCACCAAGGCGACGACGGGUAGCCGGCCUGAGAGGGUGACCGGCCACACUGGGACUGAGACACAGCCCAGACUCCUACGGGAGGCAGCAGUGGGGAAUAUUGCACAAUGGGCGCAAGCCUGAUGCAACAACGCCGCGUGAGGGAUGACGGCCUUCGGGUUGUAAACCUCUUUUAGUAGGGAAGAAGCGAAAGUGACGGUACCUGCAGAAAAAGCACCGGCUAACUACGUGCCAGCCGCCGCGGUAA
Molecule: ribosomal RNA, 484 nt
Filed under: uncultured bacterium
Lineage: Bacteria
Description: partial 16S ribosomal RNA
Rfam family: Bacterial small subunit ribosomal RNA
Source: RNAcentral